CUACGGGCCGCUCCAGUGAGGAAUUUUGCGCAAUGGGGGAAACCCUGACGCAGCAACGCCGCGUGAGUGAUGAAGGCCUUCGGGUCGUAAAGCUCUGUCGGGUGGGAAGAACCUGCGAUGGUUGAAUAUGCCGUUGCACUGACGGUACCACCGAAGGAAGCACCGGCUAACUCCGUGCCAGCAGCCGCGGUAAUACGGAGGGUGCAAGCGUUAUUCGGAAUUAUUGGGCGUAAAGAGCGCGUAGGCGGCCUUUCAAGUCAGAUGUGAAAUCCAGGGGCUCAACCCCGGAAGUGCAUUUGAAACUGUUGGGCUUGAGUAUGGGAGAGGGAAGUGGAAUUCCUGGUGUAGCGGUGAAAUGCGUAGAUAUCAGGAGGAACACCGGUGGCGAAGGCGACUUCCUGGACCAAUACUGACGCUGAGGCGCGAAGGCGUGGGGAGCAAACAGGAUUAGAUACCCUUGUAGUC
Molecule: ribosomal RNA, 465 nt
Filed under: uncultured bacterium
Lineage: Bacteria
Description: partial 16S ribosomal RNA
Rfam family: Bacterial small subunit ribosomal RNA
Source: RNAcentral